RNAcentral lists this unclassified non-coding RNA (219 nucleotides) under plant metagenome. Its description in RNAcentral is "partial contains small subunit ribosomal RNA and internal transcribed spacer 1". The stretch from base 1 to 47 matches the Rfam family "Eukaryotic small subunit ribosomal RNA", at positions 1785 to 1831 of the family's 1831-position model. The record is from RNAcentral.
AAUGUCGUAACAAGGUUUCCGUAGGUGAACCUGCGGAAGGAUCAUUACAGAGAACCUGCCUCGGGCUAGAUCUCCCACCCUUUGCUUACCUCACUUUGUUGCUUUGGGCAGGCCCGUCCCCCAGGGAACCGCCGGCUCCGGCUGGCCAAGCGCCUGUCAGAGGCAUCCCCCGAAGCUCUUGCUUAAUUUGGUCGUCUGAGUACUAUAUAAUAAGUAAAC